Molecule: ribosomal RNA, 301 nt
Filed under: uncultured bacterium
Lineage: Bacteria
Description: partial 16S ribosomal RNA
Rfam family: Bacterial small subunit ribosomal RNA
Source: RNAcentral
CAGUAGCCGCGGUAAUACGGAGGGGGCUAGCGUUGUUCGGAAUUACUGGGCGUAAAGCGCACGUAGGCGGCUUGGUAAGUUAGAGGUGAAAGCCUGGAGCUCAACUCCAGAAUUGCCUUUAAGACUGCCGAGCUAGCAGGUGAGAGAGGUAAGUGGAAUUCCGAGUGUAGAGGUGAAAUUCGUAGAUAUUCGGAAGAACACCAGUGGCGAAGGCGGCUUACUGGCUCAUACUGGACGCUGAGGUGCGAAAGCGUGGGGAGCAAACAGGAUUAGAUACCCCAGUAGUACCUGUCUCUUAUAC